RNAcentral lists this ribosomal RNA (425 nucleotides) under uncultured bacterium. RNAcentral's name for it is "partial 16S ribosomal RNA". It matches the Rfam family "Bacterial small subunit ribosomal RNA", at positions 354 to 796 of the family's 1533-position model. The record is from RNAcentral.
GUGGGGAAUCUUGCGCAAUGGGCGAAAGCCUGACGCAGCCAUGCCGCGUGAAUGAUGAAGGUCUUAGGAUUGUAAAAUUCUUUCACCGGGGACGAUAAUGACGGUACCCGGAGAAGAAGCCCCGGCUAACUUCGUGCCAGCAGCCGCGGUAAUACGAAGGGGGCUAGCGUUGCUCGGAAUUACUGGGCGUAAAGGGCGCGUAGGCGGAUCGUUAAGUCAGGGGUGAAAUCCCAGAGCUCAACUCUGGAACUGCCCUUGAUACUGGCGAUCUUGAGUGUGAGAGAGGUAUGUGGAACUCCGAGUGUAGAGGUGAAAUUCGUAGAUAUUCGGAAGAACACCAGUGGCGAAGGCGACAUACUGGCUCAUUACUGACGCUGAGGCGCGAAAGCGUGGGGAGCAAACAGGAUUAGAUACCCUAGUAGUCC